UGCGGAGGACAAAGUGCACCGUCCUCCCGCCCGCGCCCCACGCAGAGAGGCCACGGCGCCCGGCCGCAGUCUGGACCCGGCCCUCUGGCUCCCCGUUCCCUGCCCCGCUCACCAGGCGGCACAGCCUCUCAGCUCCCGGGCAUGUCAGCCUCCCGUCACGGCCCGCAACGCCCGGUGGCGCGAGCCGCAGCGCAGCGGCGCUCCCCCUCGCCCGCCCCAGCCCGCGACGCCACCGCCGCCGCCUCCCCACGCCGCCCACUCACUCUCGCGAGAGCCGUCGCACCUCUCGCGAGAACGACCCCGUGGCCGAGCCCGCGCAAAAGGAACAAGGGGUGGGGGGGAAAAUAUCUUCCCACGUGCUCUGGAGGGCAAAGCUGCGGGUCGCCCGUCACGUGACGCGGAGGCGCCCUCUCCAUUGGCCAGGCGGCCCUCGGCCCGUGGGAGCUUUAAACCUCGAGCUGACCUACGAACUCUCGGCUGACGUCUUGCGCGCUUCCUGGCUGGCUAAGACUGAAUUCCAUUUUGUCAAGCUUGCCCUGGCAGAGUAAGCCGGAGAGGGAAAUGAACUUUUCUGAAAGACUCAAGAGUCAGCGGGCUGAGCAGGCCAAGUGAAAUCGGACCUCACACACCAACUGAGAGACUGUGACUGUGAGCCAGAUACCAGGAAUGCUUUCCUCAGAAAUGCUGGCCUCAGGGUGUGAAAACGGAAGUAGCGCCACCUGCUCAGCCCCAUGGUCCCUUCCUCUGGAGCCACUGUGAAUCUAUGUUACAUCCACAACAGUGCCAUGAGCCUGAUCAAAACAAGACAACAUCUGAAAGUUAACACCUUACUUUUAAUAAGAUUUAAGGUUACUUUUUAAGAAGGGAAAAAUGUGUCAGAAGUAUUAUUUUAACAAGGCCUUUAAAAAAAUUCCCCACUCCUUCAAAUAAGGUUAUUUUAAAGGCUAGUUUGGAGUGCUUUUUGGAAUCUGCAGCUCUCAUAAUGAUUAAUAGAAGCAGCUGCUUGGUAUUGCUAAUUUAGACAAACAGAGUACUCAGCUCUACCUUCCAAACAUAUUUACAGGAUCAUAAAUCAUCCGAACUCACUCUAGCAGGGAAGUGAUUGUGGUCCCUGUGCUAGCUGUUUGGAAUGCUAUGGAUAUAAAGUGAAAAGAAAUGUAAGACCUCCUAUAGUAUCCUUACUUCUUAGAGUCUUUCAAAACAUCUUUUACAUACACACAUACACAUGCAUGUAUAUAAAUAUAUACAUAUAUGUAGUUUUACUCCAGUAUAACUUACAUGUCAUGCAUUUUCAUGUCUUUUGUAUAUUCACAGAACUAUGUACCAACAUUAUAAUCUAAUUUUUCAAACCGACUUUGUCCUCCCGUUUUUAAAAAACACCCAUUAGCAACCAGUAAUCCACUAUCUCACCCUCAGUCCCAAGCGAUCGCUAAUAAUCUUUGUUUCCAUAAACUUGCCUAAUCUGGGUAUUUAAUAUUCAUGAAAUUAAAUAGCAUAUGACCUUUUGUCAAUUUAAUCACUUAGUACAUUAUUCUCAAGGGUCAUCCA
Long non-coding RNA from Mus spicilegus (steppe mouse), 1548 nucleotides. NCBI's taxonomy places the organism in Eukaryota, Metazoa, Chordata, Mammalia, Rodentia, Muridae. The record is from Ensembl.